GACGAACGCUGGCGGCGUGCUUAACACAUGCAAGUCGAACGGAAAGGCCCUGCUUUUGUGGGGUGCUCGAGUGGCGAACGGGUGAGUAACACGUGAGUAACCUGCCCUUGACUUUGGGAUAACUUCAGGAAACUGGGGCUAAUACCGGAUAGGAGCUCCUGCUGCAUGGUGGGGGUUGGAAAGUUUCGGCGGUUGGGGAUGGACUCGCGGCUUAUCAGCUUGUUGGUGGGGUAGUGGCUUACCAAGGCUUUGACGGGUAGCCGGCCUGAGAGGGUGACCGGCCACAUUGGGACUGAGAUACGGCCCAGACUCCUACGGGAGGAAGCAGUGGGGAAUAUUGCACAAUGGGCGGAAGCCUGAUGCAGCAACGCCGCGUGCGGGAUGACGGCCUUCGGGUUGUAAACCGCUUUAGCCUGUGACGAAGCGUGAGUGACGGUAAUGGGUAAAGAAGCACCGGCUAACUACGUG
Molecule: ribosomal RNA, 468 nt
Filed under: uncultured bacterium
Lineage: Bacteria
Description: partial 16S ribosomal RNA
Rfam family: Bacterial small subunit ribosomal RNA
Source: RNAcentral